Molecule: ribosomal RNA, 509 nt
Filed under: uncultured bacterium
Lineage: Bacteria
Description: bacterial SSU rRNA
Rfam family: Bacterial small subunit ribosomal RNA
Source: RNAcentral
GAUGAACGCUAGCUACAGGCUUAACACAUGCAAGUCGAGGGGCAGCAUGAGCUUAGCUUGCUAAGCUUGAUGGCGACCGGCGCACGGGUGAGUAACGCGUAUCCAACCUUCCCCUUAGUAGGGCAUAGCCCGGUGAAAAUCGGAUUAAUACCCUAUGUUCUUCACAGCGGACAUCUAACGUGAAGCAAAGGUUCACCGCUAAGGGAUGGGGAUGCGUCUGAUUAGGUAGUCGGCGGGGUAACGGCCCACCGAGCCAUCGAUCAGUAGGGGUUCUGAGAGGAAGGUCCCCCACAUUGGAACUGAGACACGGUCCAAACUCCUACGGGAGGCAGCAGUGAGGAAUAUUGGUCAAUGGGCGCGAGCCUGAACCAGCCAAGUAGCGUGCAGGAUGACGGCCCUAUGGGUUGUAAACUGCUUUUAUGCGGGGAUAAAGUCACCCACGUGUGGGUGUUUGCAGGUACCGCAUGAAUAAGGACCGGCUAAUUCCGUGCCAGCCGCCGCAGUAACAC